ACAAAGCUGUCCUGUAUUCAUUACAUUUUAAAAGACAAAAAGGAAAACAAAUUCUGUUUGUAGUACAUAUUUUUUGUUUAAAUGUUCCCUGGUGUCAGUGUAAAUCUCCUCUGUGUUGUGUGUCAGAUUGCUCUGUCUCAGGAUGGACAGAUUCAGUAUGUCCCCAUCACCACUGAACAGCAGGUUGUGGCCCCUGAAGAUCUGGAAGCAGUCGCUCAUUCAGCGGUCACUGCUAUUGCAGAUGCAGCAAUGACCCGGUUUACACUGAAGCCACACCUGAACAACUGGAACAACUGCAAGAGCAGGGCAUCCAGUAUGAUGUCAUCACUUUUAUUGAGGAGUAGAAACACGACACACACAUUAUUUAUUAACAACAUCAACACACACACACGGACAGACAGAAGAAUAUCUGAAGCUCAUCUCAGCUCCAAAUGAGCAUCACAAACUGCGCUGAUCAUAAGUAACACAAACUUCUUCCACAAUCAUCAGUCAUUUAUAAGGUGAAUGUACAGUUAGAUCCUCUCAAAAUAUGAUUUAUGCCUUUGUAAAUAUUGAAAGAAAUGUAUCUUUAGCCUUGAAAAAGAAAUAUGUAUAGAGAAUCCUGUAUUUAAGAAGAAUAAUGGACAUGUCUCUGUGGAUGCUGCUUUAAUGACAGUCUGUAUAUAACGGUAGGCUGGAGGAUUGACGUCAUAUUGCUAUGAAACAGUUCCUGGCUGUAGCUAAAAUUCUUACAAAGAAGGUUUUGAUCAUUUGCUGUUUCAUUUUUAGCUUCUUCAGUUUUACAGAUAUGUCUUUCUUUAAACAUGGCUACAGACCGGAACUUUAAAUGCAAACCAAAUAAGUCAAAUCCUCUUUAUCUGAUUCUAACACUGAUUUUCUUGCAUUAGUUGUGCUAUAAUAUUGUACAAUUCUGGUUUUACAAAGCUGUUGUCUGCUGCAUAUGAUUUAAUAAUAUUUAUACUCGUGUACAUAUUGAUUUUUGUUCCUAUUCAGUGCCUUAUGCAUGUAUUUUAAGUUGCGUCUGAAAGUUCAGAUCAGUUUUUAUCUUUGGUUUGUUUUGUACAUUCACAACCAAGAAUCCAUCAAACUUUUAUAAAUGAUGCUCUAUUUUAAAGCUACUAAGACAAAGACAUCUGAACUUCACUAUUCAGCUAGGGUCAUCUACAAUUAUACCUUUAAUUCAUUCAGAAGUCUUGAUGCUCAGCUGUCCUUCAGUGGUCACAUAACCUGCAUGAUUGUGCAAGCUUUGUUUUCUUUACACAAAAUUAGAAGGAUCAGACACUUUGUAACAGAGCAGGCUGCGUAACCUUUUGUCCAAGCACUUGUGAUUUGUAUAUUAGGCUACUGCAAUGUUCUCCAGGCUGAACUUCCAUCAUCUGCUGUGAAACCUCUUUAGAUGAUCUAAAAUGCUGCAGCUUGUCUGGUCUGAGCUCUAUUUAUCCCAAUAGAGUCCUCUACACACAUCAAUAUCACAGGAGGAUUGAGCUGGUUUUCUUUCUUCUUGUUCCACUGACGCAUGCCUCAAGAGACGUCAGCGGAGUAAAAUCAGCUGCUCUUUUACCAAAAUCCACCAUCAAACCUGCAGUCCGGAGCUCUUCUCCAUCUACAGCCUGUGUUUCAGACGAACCAGCUGAUCAAUCCAGGUAAAUCAAAUCACAAAUAUGACCACACUUCAUCCAUUUUACAACUCCAAAUCAUAAUAGAGAUUAAUCUGUCUGUGAAAACCAAAACAUGAAGCAGUGAUGGUUGAGCACAUCUCACACACUAGCUGCUGUUUAAAAUGCUCUGAUGUUUAGAAAUUGAAUUGAUAAUCUCUAAAUUAUUUAUCAAUCUGACAAACAUCUUAAACAAAGAUUAGAUUUACUUUGUACCUCAGUU
Molecule: non-coding RNA, 1878 nt
Organism: Danio rerio (zebrafish)
Lineage: Eukaryota; Metazoa; Chordata; Actinopteri; Cypriniformes; Danionidae
Source: RefSeq, a predicted model, not a curated record